RNAcentral lists this ribosomal RNA (526 nucleotides) under Bifidobacterium breve. Its description in RNAcentral is "bacterial SSU rRNA". It matches the Rfam family "Bacterial small subunit ribosomal RNA", at positions 160 to 696 of the family's 1533-position model. Lineage: Bacteria; Bacillati; Actinomycetota; Actinomycetes; Bifidobacteriales; Bifidobacteriaceae. The record is from RNAcentral.
GUGGUAAUGCCGGAUGCUCCAUCACACCGCAUGGUGUGUUGGGAAAGCCUUUGCGGCAUGGGAUGGGGUCGCGUCCUAUCAGCUUGAUGGCGGGGUAACGGCCCACCAUGGCUUCGACGGGUAGCCGGCCUGAGAGGGCGACCGGCCACAUUGGGACUGAGAUACGGCCCAGACUCCUACGGGAGGCAGCAGUGGGGAAUAUUGCACAAUGGGCGCAAGCCUGAUGCAGCGACGCCGCGUGAGGGAUGGAGGCCUUCGGGUUGUAAACCUCUUUUGUUAGGGAGCAAGGCAUUUUGUGUUGAGUGUACCUUUCGAAUAAGCACCGGCUAACUACGUGCCAGCAGCCGCGGUAAUACGUAGGGUGCAAGCGUUAUCCGGAAUUAUUGGGCGUAAAGGGCUCGUAGGCGGUUCGUCGCGUCCGGUGUGAAAGUCCAUCGCUUAACGGUGGAUCCGCGCCGGGUACGGGCGGGCUUGAGUGCGGUAGGGGAGACUGGAAUUCCCGGUGUAACGGUGGAAUGUGUAGAUA